AGUCGAACGGGAUUACUUUUGUAGCAAUACAGAAGUAAUUCAGUGGCGAACGGGUGCGUAACACGUGGACAAUCUGCCGAGAAGUGGGGGAUAGCUCGCCGAAAGGCGAAUUAAUACCGCAUGUGAUGGGAGACGACAUCGUCUUGAAAUCAAAGCCGGGGUUAAACCUGGCGCUUUUUGAGGAGUCCGCGGCCUAUCAGCUAGUUGGUGAGGUAACGGCUCACCAAGGCAUUGACGGGUAGCUGGUCUGAGAGGACGACCAGUCACACUGGAACUGAGACACGGUCCAGACACCUACGGGUGGCAGCAGUCGAGAAUUUUUCUCAAUGGGGGCAACCCUGAAGGAGCGACGCCGCGUGGAGGAUGAAGGUCUUCGGGUUGUAAACUCCUGUCAUUUGGGAACAAGGUGCACGUAUUUACUGUACGUGUAUUGAUAGUACCAGAAGAGGAAGAGACGGCUAACUCUGUGCCAGCAGCCGCGGUAAUACAGAGGUCUCAAGCGUUGUUCGGAUUCAUUGGGCGUAAAGGGUGCGUAGGUGGCGCCGUAAGUCAGGUGUGAAAUCUCGGGGCUUAACCCCGAAACUGCAUUUGAUACUGCGGUGCUUGAGGACUGGAGAGGAGACUGGAAUUUACGGUGUAGCAGUGAAAUGCGUAGAGAUCGUAAGGAAGACCAGUGGCGAAGGCGGGUCUCUGGACAGUUCCUGACACUGAGGCACGAAGGCCAGGGGAGCAAACGGGAUUAGAUACCCCGGUAGUCCUGGCAGUAAACGGUGCACGUUUGGUGUGGGGGGAUUCGACCCCUUCUGCGCCGGAGCUAACGCGUUAAACGUG
This 831-nucleotide ribosomal RNA is filed under the name uncultured bacterium. Its description in RNAcentral is "bacterial SSU rRNA". It matches the Rfam family "Bacterial small subunit ribosomal RNA", at positions 60 to 868 of the family's 1533-position model. The record is from RNAcentral.